UUGCUAUCUGCGAUAUGGAAGAUUCGAACCUGCCGCAGGUUCGGGUCUCAUGCAGUGAGACAACGGAGCCGUUUACGGCGACGGCCCGAAGGACGAGCGAAGCGAGUCAUCCUGCAGGACCCACCA
RNAcentral lists this small RNA (126 nucleotides) under Salmonella enterica. RNAcentral's name for it is "RtT sRNA". It matches the Rfam family "RtT RNA". Rfam says of the family: This family represents a bacterial cis-regulatory element known as RtT RNA. The exact function of RtT is unknown although it is thought that it may be involved in changing the cellular response in relation to amino acid starvation. Lineage: Bacteria; Pseudomonadati; Pseudomonadota; Gammaproteobacteria; Enterobacterales; Enterobacteriaceae. The record is from RNAcentral.